Long non-coding RNA from Brassica napus (rape), 588 nucleotides. RefSeq lists it as uncharacterized. The record is from RefSeq and is a predicted model, not a curated record. The transcript is spliced from 3 exons. NCBI's taxonomy places the organism in Eukaryota, Viridiplantae, Streptophyta, Magnoliopsida, Brassicales, Brassicaceae.
AUGAAUCAUUUGAAUGGAAAUGACAAAUGGUGAAACAAACGGCCCCAUAGUACCUCUGCCUUGGAAAUAUAUUUAAUGCCGACAUUGUCCCUUAAUAUACAACAACCCCAACAACAAAACACAAACCACAAAACAGGGCUCCGGCGAUUCUCUCGUCUUCAGACGGCUGUCGUUUCGUCAGAGUCACUGAGAUCCGGCAUUUCAAAGUUAGUUUAGUAAAAGGUCUGCAAAAUGGUUGCUCAGGGAUUCUCUGUGGAUCUUAAUAAGGCCCUUGUAUUUCAGGGGUCUACGUCUACCACAUGUCAUACUGCUGAAUUUCUUGAAGCCAACAGCAGCCAAUAAGAGAUGAUUAUAUGAAUGAUUUGUUUAGAUUUUAUAUUUUAAGGGAUAAUUAUAUGAACUUCUAGAAAGUUAGGAAUUAGGAUUAAUCACUUAACUUGUGCCUCCUUUAUAAGCUUCUUAGAGUAAAAUUGUAUGGACAGUGACCGAAUGUAUGUGAGAAUGGGAGUUGUUAAAUUGUAUUGGCAGUAACCAUAGAGAAAUCUGUAUUCAUUUAAUUGUGUUUGUCAAUGUAUAUAAUUAAAUGCA